This 460-nucleotide ribosomal RNA is filed under the name uncultured bacterium. RNAcentral's name for it is "partial 16S ribosomal RNA". It matches the Rfam family "Bacterial small subunit ribosomal RNA", at positions 338 to 795 of the family's 1533-position model. The record is from RNAcentral.
CCUACGGGAGGCAGCAGUGAGGAAUAUUGGUCAAUGGACGCGAGCCUGAACCAGCCAAGUCGCGUGAAGGAUGACUGCCCUAUGGGUUGUAAACUUCUUUUGUCAAGGAAUAAAACGAGGCACGUGUGCCUUUAUGCAUGGACUUUAUGAAUAAGGAACGGCUCACUUCGUUCCAGACGCCGCGGUAAUACGGAGGAUUCGAGCGUUAUCCGGAUUUAUUGGGUUUAAAGGGAGUGUAGGUGGGUUGGUAAGUCAGUUGUGAAAGUUUGCGGCUCAACCGUAAAAUUGCAAUUGAUACUGGCAGUCUUGAGUACAGUAGAGGUAGGCGGAAUUCGUGGUGUAGCGGUGAAAUGCUUAGAUAUCACGAAGAACCCCGAUUGCGAAGGCAGCUUACUAGACUGUAACUGACGUUGAUGCUCGAAAGUGUGGGUAUCAAACAGGAUUAGAUACCCUAGUAGUC